CACGGAGUUAGCCGGAGCUUAUUCUCCAGGUACUGUCAUUAUCAUCCCUGGUAAAAGAGCUUUACAACCCUAAGGCCUUCAUCACUCACGCGGCAUUGCUGGAUCAGGCUUUCGCCCAUUGUCCAAUAUUCCCCACUGCCACCUCCCGUAGGAGUCUGGGCCGUGUCUCAGUCCCAGUGUGGCUGAUCAUCCUCUCAGACCAGCUAAGGAUCGUCGGCUUGGUGAGCCAUUACCCCACCAACUACCUAAUCCUACGCGGGCUCAUCCUUCGGCGAUAAAUCUUUGGACUUUCGUCAUCAUCCGGUAUUAGCAGUCAUUUCUAACUGUUAUUCCGAACCGAAGGGCAGAUUCCCACGUGUUACGCACCCGUGCGCCACUAGACCCGAAGGUCUCGUUCGACUUGCAUGUGUUAGGCAUGCCGCCAGCGUUCGUUCUGAGCCAGGAUCAAACUCU
This 453-nucleotide ribosomal RNA is filed under the name uncultured Novosphingobium sp. RNAcentral describes it as "partial 16S ribosomal RNA". The record is from RNAcentral. Lineage: Bacteria; Pseudomonadati; Pseudomonadota; Alphaproteobacteria; Sphingomonadales; Sphingomonadaceae.